This 1167-nucleotide ribosomal RNA is filed under the name Triticum aestivum (bread wheat). RNAcentral's name for it is "partial small subunit ribosomal RNA". Lineage: Eukaryota; Viridiplantae; Streptophyta; Magnoliopsida; Poales; Poaceae. The record is from RNAcentral.
AUGUCUGAAAGGUUCUGUAGAAUUCCUAAAGAGAGUAGAGUACCUGUUUUUGAGAAAAAUCUCAGUGUAGAGGCCUACUGGAAAGGCAACACAUCUAGUAGAAGAAAUCUUUUGUACACAGGCUAUAGUAACAAAAAUACCUCCAAGGCAACUGAAGGCAUGGUGGUCAAGGUCAUUAAGGCUGUAAACAACCUUACCGUGAAAGAAAAAGGUGAAGCAUCAUCCUCGACUUCGGCCAUCCUAUUGACUGGAGGACCAGUCCAGGGAGGCCACGCCCUCGGCCAGGAGGGCCGGGGGCAGGUGCCUUCGUUGCCGGCACCCGUGGUAGCUGCUUCGAGUCAGGCGGACCCGGAUCACAGACCACUCAAGCACGCUAGCCUUGGCCAGGAAGGCCAAGGAUUGGCGGCCAGGAGUGUGCCCAUCAGGGGGGUGCUGGCACUUGGCCAGGAGGGCCGACUCGGGGCGUCCCUGCACUCUAAGCGGGGGGAUGGCCCUGGUCAGGAGGACCAGGGUGCACGCUUGGGUGCCCCUACACCACCACUGCACCAAGGCCAGGAGGGCCAUGUGCGGCUGCACCUGGGAGCGCCCCCAUAUUCCCAAGUGAUGGCUGCUGCUGCUGCCAAUCCGGAGUGUCCUGUUGGCCAGGAAGGCCAGGGGAUCCACUCGAAGGGUGCAGCUAAUGCAGUUUCUGAUGCGGCUGCCACUUUUAACAUGCAUAAUCAAGUUUUAUUUGAGCCUGGGGUGCUUGAGGCACUUACAGGAGCUCUGGUUGCGAGGCUAGCUAGCCCAGCUACGGCCAAGGAGUCUGGAGUGUUUACUUUCACUGCUAAAAAGAAUCCUAUGCACGGCCAAGCAAAAAGAAAGGAGAGGAAAGGUAAAAAGAAGGGAGGGGAUGAGAAAGCUGAAAGUGCUCGAAAAGAGAUCAUAGGGAAAAAGAGGGGUAAUCCUUUUGGGGUUCCACCAACAGGGAGUGACCAAAUUUUUUCUUUUGAGAGGGAAAUGGAUAGCUAUGAGCGUGUGCUGUAUGGUGACAUGAGUGUUUCUUCCAAGAGAGUCUGUAUGGGUAGAGUUGACACUGAGGAGGCAUACAUGCAACAGAGGAGGGAGUCGGUUGGAGAUGAUGGCACAUCGGCGGCCUCCGAGGAGGAGGACCGCCGGGCCAAAUGA